ACUAAAAUAGCUUAAAUUAAAGCGUAAUAUUGAAGAUAUUAAUAUGAAUAAUUAAUUCUUUUAGUA
This 66-nucleotide transfer RNA is filed under the name Orius sauteri. Its description in RNAcentral is "tRNA-Phe". Lineage: Eukaryota; Metazoa; Arthropoda; Insecta; Hemiptera; Anthocoridae. The record is from RNAcentral. RNAcentral also lists the same sequence under 1 other name.